CACUCCUACGGGAGGCAGCAGUGGGGAAUAUUGGACAAUGGGCGCAAGCCUGAUCCAGCCAUGCCGCGUGAGUGAUGAAGGCCCUAGGGUUGUAAAGCUCUUUCACCGGUGAAGAUAAUGACGGUAACCGGAGAAGAAGCCCCGGCUAACUUCGUGCCAGCAGCCGCGGUAAUACGAAGGGGGCUAGCGUUGUUCGGAUUUACUGGGCGUAAAGCGCACGUAGGCGGACUAUUAAGUCAGGGGUGAAAUCCCGGGGCUCAACCCCGGAACUGCCUUUGAUACUGGUAGUCUUGAAUUCGAGAGAGGUGAGUGGAAUUCCGAGUGUAGAGGUGAAAUUCGUAGAUAUUCGGAGGAACACCAGUGGCGAAGGCGGCUCACUGGCUCGAUACUGACGCUGAGGUGCGAAAGCGUGGGGAGCAAACAGGAUUAGAAACCCCGGUAGUCCC
RNAcentral lists this ribosomal RNA (446 nucleotides) under uncultured organism. RNAcentral describes it as "partial 16S ribosomal RNA". It matches the Rfam family "Bacterial small subunit ribosomal RNA", at positions 334 to 797 of the family's 1533-position model. The record is from RNAcentral.